Molecule: ribosomal RNA, 553 nt
Filed under: uncultured Alphaproteobacteria bacterium
Lineage: Bacteria; Pseudomonadati; Pseudomonadota; Alphaproteobacteria
Description: partial 16S ribosomal RNA
Source: RNAcentral
AAUUCGAUUCGUAUUACCGCGGCUGCUGGCACGGAGUUAGCCGGGGCUUUCUUGGACAGGUACCGUCAUUAUCUUCCCUGCUGAAAAGGGCUUUACAACCCUAAGGCCUUCAUCACCCACUCGGUAUUGCUGGAUCAGGCUUUCGCCCAUUGUCCAAUAUUCCCCACUGCUGCCUCCCGUAGGAGUCUGGGCCGUGUCUCAGUCCCAGUGUGGCUGAUCAUUCUCUCAAACCAGCUACAGAUCAUUGGCUUGGUAGGCCAUUACCCUACCAACUACCUAAUCUGGCGCGGGCUCAUCCAUCAGCGAUAAAUCUUUCCUCCAAAGAGAAUAUACGGUAUUAGCAAUUAUUUCUAAAUGUUAUUCCGUACUGAUGGGCAGAUUCCCACGUGUUACUCACCCGUCUGCCACUAAUUUAUUUAAAGCAAGCUCUAAAUAAAUCCGUUCGACUUGCAUGUGUUAAGCAUACCGAAAGCGUUCGUUCUGAGCCAUGAUCAAACUCUAUCACUAGUGAAUUCGCGGCCGCCUGCAGGUCGACCAUAUGGGAGAGCUCCCA